UACGUAGGGGGCAAGCGUUGUCCGGAAUCAUUGGGCGUAAAGCGCGUGUAGGCGGCUCGGUAAGUCUGCUGUGAAAGUCCAGGGCUCAACCCUGGGAUGCCGGUGGAUACUGUCGAGCUCGAGUCCGGAAGAGGCGAGUGGAAUUCCUGGUGUAGCGGUGAAAUGCGCAGAUAUCAGGAGGAACACCAAUGGCGAAGGCGCCUUGCUGGCCAAUUACUGACGCUGAGGCGCGAAAGCGUGGGGAGCAAACAGG
RNAcentral lists this ribosomal RNA (253 nucleotides) under uncultured bacterium. Its description in RNAcentral is "partial 16S ribosomal RNA". It matches the Rfam family "Bacterial small subunit ribosomal RNA", at positions 524 to 776 of the family's 1533-position model. The record is from RNAcentral.